This 582-nucleotide ribosomal RNA is filed under the name Bradyrhizobium sp. RNAcentral's name for it is "bacterial SSU rRNA". It matches the Rfam family "Bacterial small subunit ribosomal RNA", at positions 129 to 745 of the family's 1533-position model. The record is from RNAcentral. Lineage: Bacteria; Pseudomonadati; Pseudomonadota; Alphaproteobacteria; Hyphomicrobiales; Nitrobacteraceae.
CCUUUUGGUUCGGAACAACCCAGGGAAACUUGGGCUAAUACCGGAUAAGCCCUUACGGGGAAAGAUUUAUCGCCGAAAGAUUGGCCCGCGUCUGAUUAGCUAGUUGGUGAGGUAACGGCUCACCAAGGCGACGAUCAGUAGCUGGUCUGAGAGGAUGAUCAGCCACAUUGGGACUGAGACACGGCCCAAACUCCUACGGGAGGCAGCAGUGGGGAAUAUUGGACAAUGGGCGCAAGCCUGAUCCAGCCAUGCCGCGUGAGUGAUGAAGGCCCUAGGGUUGUAAAGCUCUUUUGUGCGGGAAGAUAAUGACGGUACCGCAAGAAUAAGCCCCGGCUAACUUCGUGCCAGCAGCCGCGGUAAUACGAAGGGGGCUAGCGUUGCUCGGAAUCACUGGGCGUAAAGGGUGCGUAGGCGGGUCUUUAAGUCAGGGGUGAAAUCCUGGAGCUCAACUCCAGAACUGCCUUUGAUACUGAAGAUCUUGAGUUCGGGAGAGGUGAGUGGAACUGCGAGUGUAGAGGUGAAAUUCGUAGAUAUUCGCAAGAACACCAGUGGCGAAGGCGGCUCACUGGCCCGAUACUGACG